This 373-nucleotide ribosomal RNA is filed under the name uncultured organism. RNAcentral's name for it is "partial 16S ribosomal RNA". It matches the Rfam family "Bacterial small subunit ribosomal RNA", at positions 527 to 896 of the family's 1533-position model. The record is from RNAcentral.
GUAGGUGGCAAGCGUUGUCCGGAAUUAUUGGGCGUAAAGCGCGCGCAGGCGGUUCUUUAAGUCUGAUGUGAAAGCCCACGGCUCAACCGUGGAGGGUCAUUGGAAACUGGAGAACUUGAGUAUAGAAGAGGAAAGCGGAAUUCCACGUGUAGCGGUGAAAUGCGUAGAGAUGUGGAGGAACACCAGUGGCGAAGGCGGCUUUCUGGUCUGUAACUGACGCUGAGGCGCGAAAGCGUGGGGAGCAAACAGGGAUUAGAUACCCUGGUAGUCCACGCCGUAAACGAUGAGUGCUAAGUGUUAGGGGGGUUUCCGCCCCCUUAGUGCUGCAGCUAACGCAUUAAGCACUCCGCCUGGGGAUACGGCCGCAAGGCUG